GAAUGUCUUAAUCAAAUUAUGCCACCAUCCCCCAAACUUAUACAAGACAUUGUCCACAAUGUGAAAAAUAAGUUUAGAAGGCAGAAUUUAAGGAAAAUGAAUACAAAUUAGGCAAACGAUACUCCCCUGAUCAAAACGGGGGCUGCGGUGGGAAGCUAGAGCCUGCAGUAUCAUCAGUUGGAGGUGGAGGUAGGCGCGCCAAGAUCUCUCUCAUCAGUGCUGACUGCUGUG
This 231-nucleotide long non-coding RNA is filed under the name Olea europaea (common olive). RNAcentral describes it as "long non-coding RNA (OEUR_LNC006938)". Lineage: Eukaryota; Viridiplantae; Streptophyta; Magnoliopsida; Lamiales; Oleaceae. The record is from RNAcentral.